UGUAUUUAAGCUGUUGGGCAGGAGUUCUCUUUUUGUUAAGGUGCUGAGCUGGUGAGAGGUAGUCCUGAAGCUGGGCCGCCAUCCUACCAUCACAAGGGCAGAGCCUGCCUGAAGGUGGAUUCAAACUGAAAGAGAAUAAAUUUAAGAAAUGUAAAGAGAUUAGCUGGGCAGCUGGAUUCAGCCAUACCUGAAGCCAUUUACUCCUAUUAGGUCUACUGUGCGCCAGGCACUGUUCUAGAGAGCUUCCAUUCUACUGGGAGAGCUGAGCCUAACUCUGCCAGAUUGAAGGUUUGUGGCAAUCCUGCGUCAAACAUAUCAGCACCUUGUCUCCAACAGCAUAUGCUCACUU
This 349-nucleotide long non-coding RNA is filed under the name Homo sapiens (human). RNAcentral describes it as "HSALNT0330917". The record is from RNAcentral. Lineage: Eukaryota; Metazoa; Chordata; Mammalia; Primates; Hominidae.